RNAcentral lists this ribosomal RNA (548 nucleotides) under uncultured Glomeromycotina. RNAcentral describes it as "SSU rRNA". It matches the Rfam family "Eukaryotic small subunit ribosomal RNA", at positions 548 to 1098 of the family's 1831-position model. Lineage: Eukaryota; Fungi; Glomeromycota. The record is from RNAcentral.
UUGGAGGGCAAGUCUGGUGCCAGCAGCCGCGGUAAUUCCAGCUCCAAUGGCGUAUAUUAAAGUUGUUGCAGUUAAAAAGCUCGUAGUUGAAUUUCGGGAUCAGUUGGUCGGUCGUGCCUCGGUACGUACUGGUCAAAUUGAUUCCUACCUUCUGACGAACCACGAUGUCAUUAAUUUGGUGUCGCGGGAAAUCAGGACUGUUACUUUGAAAAAAUUAGAGUGUUUAAAGCAGGCUCGCGCUUGAAUACAUUAGCAUGGAAUAAUGAAAUAGGACGUUUGAUUCUAUUUUGUUGGUUUCUAGGAUCGACGUAAUGAUUAAUAGGGAUAGUUGGGGGCAUUAGUAUUCAAUUGUCAGAGGUGAAAUUCUUGGAUUUAUUGAAGACUAACUACUGCGAAAGCAUUUGCCAAGGAUGUUUUCAUUAAUCAAGAACGAAAGUUAGGGGAUCGAAGACGAUCAGAUACCGUCGUAGUCUUAACCAUAAACUAUGCCGACUAGGGAUCGGAUGAUGUUAAUUUUUUAAUGACUCAUUCGGCGCCUUACGGGAAAC